AAUAUUGGACAACGCAGUUAACCCUGAUCCAGCCAGGCCCCUGGCUUCAAGAAGAGCUUCUGAUCGUAAAGCACUUGAAUUUGGCAGAAAGGGCUUUAGGUUAAUACCCGAAAGUCGUGACGUUACCUACAGAAAAAGCACUGGCGAACUCUGUCCCGUCAGCCGCGGUAAUACAGAGGGUGCAAGCGUUAAGCGGAAUUACUGGGCGUAAAGCGCGCGUAGGUGGUUCAGUAAGAUGGAUGUGAAAUCCCCGGGCUUAACCUGGGAACUGCUUUCAUAACUGCUGAGCUAGAGUACGGUAGAGGGUAGUGGAAUUUCCUGUGUAGCGGUGAAAUGCGUAGAUAUAGGAAGCAACACCAGAGGCGAAGGCGACUACCUGGACUGAUACUGACACUGAGGUGCGAAAGCGUGGGGAGCAAACA
Molecule: ribosomal RNA, 422 nt
Filed under: uncultured bacterium
Lineage: Bacteria
Description: partial 16S ribosomal RNA
Rfam family: Bacterial small subunit ribosomal RNA
Source: RNAcentral